This 319-nucleotide ribosomal RNA is filed under the name uncultured eukaryote. RNAcentral's name for it is "partial 18S ribosomal RNA". It matches the Rfam family "Eukaryotic small subunit ribosomal RNA", at positions 1470 to 1796 of the family's 1831-position model. The record is from RNAcentral.
CCCUUAGAUGUUCUGGGCAGCACGCGCGCUACAAUGGUCUUCGCAAACGGAUGCAUUCUCGAAGGAGAAUGCCAAUCUUGGAAUCUAUGCCUUGGUCGGGACAGUUGCUUGCAAUUUUUCGACUCGAACCAGGAAUUCCUUGUAAUCGUGAUUCAUCACAUCACGAUGAAUACGUCCCUGCCCUUUGUACACACCGCCCGUCGCUCCUACCGAUCGAAGAGUUAGGUGAAUUGUUUUGAUCGAUAAGAUUUGACUAUGGUCAACUCUCGUUGGGAAAUUCUGUGAAGCUGACUGUUUAGAGGAAGGAAAAGUCGUAACA